UUUCCGGGCUUAGGGUUUGGUGGGGUGUCGGGGGCGGCAGAGCAUACGGACGAUGGGGGUAAGCGGCGGAGAAGGUGCCGGGAGGGAGAACAUAUAGGUGAGGGGAUGGGCACCCGGUAUAGCAUGCCGUACGGCAAGCGGUGUAGAGAGAGAUGGGUAGCAGAAGGGGUAGGGCGGGAAGAGAUCGGCGCGGGUUGGAGAAAGGGGAGAGCGACACAUACGCCAUUUAGAACUCCCAAUUCAUGUCUUUUUACUGAUUAGGGUUAAUUUCAUAUAUGUCCAUACAAACAUAGUGAAUAGCAAAUAUAUACCUACAAAUUAAGUUUAACUUUCAUAUGUUUUUCUUGCAAAAGUCAUGUUAUUUUUAAAUAUGUCUCUGCCGUUAGAAUCCGUUAGAAAAAUUUAGUUAACCACAAGUUAAAUACUUAAACUUAGUUCUCGACAUUUUUGUUAUCUUAUAUUAUAUUAUUUGUCAUGGCAAAAUUGAAAAUAUAAAUAGUUUUCUAAUGAUUCUCUAACGGUAACAAACUAGAGAGACAUAUUUGAAAAUAUUAAAACUUUUGCAGGGACAAUAUAUGAAAGUUGAAUUUUGUAUAAAUGUAUUUAUCAUUCACUAUAUUUGUAGGGAUCUGUAUGAAAUUAAUCCAAUAAAUUAUGUAUACCUUGGUUUAUUAUAUUUUUUUUGUUUAUU
Molecule: long non-coding RNA, 691 nt
Filed under: Ananas comosus (pineapple)
Lineage: Eukaryota; Viridiplantae; Streptophyta; Magnoliopsida; Poales; Bromeliaceae
Description: long non-coding RNA (ACOM_LNC028812)
Source: RNAcentral